This is a long non-coding RNA of Amphiprion ocellaris (clown anemonefish), 1719 nucleotides long. NCBI's taxonomy places the organism in Eukaryota, Metazoa, Chordata, Actinopteri, Pomacentridae. The record is from Ensembl.
UCCCUGCUCGAGAUCGAUGUUGACGGGUGUCACCUGAGAAUUCCAGAUCCUUUAGAGCUCAGAGAAGGUUGGGAGAAUGAGUCGACAGCAGCAAAUAAAUGGCCACCCUGCAUGUACAUAGAUAUCAAUAAUUAUCUGAUUAGCAAGGACGAGCAAAACUUGCUAACGACUACAAAGUCGGCACGAUGUUCUGAAUCUUUUCUUUCAGUAGGAAAUGUGACGAGUAUAUAAAGCAGGUCACAUAUACAGCGCGAGGUUCCUUUAUUGCACUCGUGAAUAGGGCAAAAUUCUUCCAUCCACUUCUUUAGCCCACGGGUACCGUUGUGGCAGUCCCGCACUGAACAAUGGGACCUGGCAUAUUGCCUUAAAAAGACUUUAAGCAGUGUAAACACUUAAUAGUCGCUACAAAUAGCAGGUCGUUCCACUGCGAUAGUAUCGCUUUAUCGAGCUUUGUUGAUAACGUAGUGUGGGAUGAACUCUGACCCGGAAGCUAUUGAGGGAUAAACGCGCAUGCGUACUGAUAAUUCCGAUUUGGCUUAUUCAUUCUGUGCUAUUUUUCAAUGAGUCAGUGAGUGACCGGUGACUGGCUGCUGCAGCCAAUGAUGCGAUUCACAUACGUAUUUACCAUAGACUGUAUAUAAUGGUAUUUACGCAGCUAAUCAACGUCAGGCGUCCUUAUGUGCAGCUACCGUUGUUCUCAUAGAUAUGAAUGAGUCGAUAGGACACGCCCCUUUGAGCUACGUGCUACAGCGAGGCUAAGCUAGUGGGGGAAAAGUUUCAGUGCAUUCUGUUGAUGUAGACGGCGUGAAAACGGAAACAACAAGUAUGCCGGCUCACUGUGCUGCAUACAAUUACACUACGUCAUACGAUUGAGACAAGGAAACUUGGAAUGACUUUUCAUAGGUCCCUCUCUAUCUCCCCACACAUCCACCAACCACUGGAACACAUCUCCAAAGUUCUGCUGGACCAGCUCAGCUUCCCCUCAGAAGAAGUGCCGCCACCGACCAGAUGAAGGAGCCUUUUGAGAGGCAGCUGGCAUCGUGAUUGGACUGUACUUUGGUCUGUUCCAAUCCAGCUUCAGCUCCAGAGACAGCAGGCGGGACGAGUCAACGGAGGCCUGGUGGACGAAGGCAUGCAGCUGAGUACAAUCCAGAAAACAACAGAGGAGGAGUGCAGCAGCCAGAACAACCACAGUAGCAUCAUAUGUCUCUUAGAAAACAUCAUAGUAUAGCCUUUGGUAUGAAAAAACGCCAUCAUAUACAUCGUAUAUUGUACAAAUAACAAGUCAAAGGAAAGAGACAUACAUUGUAGAAUUGUAGUAAUUGUGGGCUGACUGAUUUACUGAUUAUCAGUAUUUUAUUUUUUACUGAUUUAUGGUAAUAAAUAAAUUUUAAAAUGGCGCUACUUUGGCUCUGAACCUUUAUCUACCUGUGGUCACUCUGUCUUCUGGAGUGAUUUGAUUGGUUAUACGUCAUGAAUAAAACUCCUUUAACUUAACAUCUGUAAACAAAACAAAAACGUAUCAACAAAGUUUUCUGUUAGAGUUCGUGUUCUUCGAAGUUUAACUCCAAGAUUUUAAAUACUUUCAUUUACUGCAAAUGAAUAUCUACUCCAAAUGUCUCACUAAUAAUCAUUAUCAGCCUUAAAAACCCACAAAACACCCCUCUAUACUCGACCACACUUAGUACAGUCCGGUUCCCCCUUCUAUAAAUCUGCUUG